RNAcentral lists this transfer RNA (79 nucleotides) under Salmonella enterica subsp. enterica serovar Mbandaka. RNAcentral describes it as "tRNA-Arg". It matches the Rfam family "tRNA". From Rfam's summary of the family: Transfer RNA (tRNA) molecules are approximately 80 nucleotides in length. Their secondary structure includes four short double-helical elements and three loops (D, anti-codon, and T loops). The record is from RNAcentral. Lineage: Bacteria; Pseudomonadati; Pseudomonadota; Gammaproteobacteria; Enterobacterales; Enterobacteriaceae.
GCAUCCGUAGCUCAGCUGGAUAGAGUACUCGGCUACGAACCGAGCGGUCGGAGGUUCGAAUCCUCCCGGAUAUGCACCA